GAGCCCCCCACCCGGGCACUCCGCGCAGCUGCCUUCCCAACGGGCUAUAAAAGCCCACAGCCAGACCCAGGGCAGCUUUCCUGGACCCCGGGCUUGCCCAGGUGACCUAAGGGACAGAAAUGCAGCUGCCAUGAACAUUUCGAGGUCCAGCAACAGUCUUUACAAAAAGUAAAUAGAGGAAGUGGUGAGAAAAUGAUCGAACCGAAACUAGAAGGGACGCUGGAGAAGUAGAAGGUAAUUAGUUGAAUUGGUCUCUGGCUGGGUCUCAGGGGCUCGCCCGGUGCAAGGAGAGAUUGAAAAUGUGAGCUGUAUUUUGCUGAAUAUGCCUAACCAGCCAAGAUUUGUUUUCUGUUAGCACAAGCAGAGAGAUGGGAAGCGAACGAGAUAGCUGCUCCAAAGAGACAGAUAAACUGACCGUUCAGGAUGCUACAAUCUGACUAACUAGAGCUCAGACGCACGCAUAAACCUCAGCCUGGAAGCACAGCUGGGGAUUUCUCCAGGAAAAGCCAGCCUCUUCCAUGAUCGCUUGCAGCUAAGCGCCUCAAUCCCCAUUCUCUCUAACUGGGCCGUUUCCAGUGUGCUCGCAGCCCAGUUUAGAUCCUGUCUAUAUCUGCGGCAAGUUUCAAGGGAAGCUAUAGUGGACUCCAGCGCCAUUGCUUGCAACAGGUGCAAUCUGUAGAGAGGCAAUUGUUCUUAAAUUAUUUACUUACUGCACUCUGAUUUCCCCCCACCCUAUUAAAUUCUGAAUCAGCUGGCUUCUGACUGCUUGCAAUUUGACCUUUUUUUCCCCUAAACAUGUGCACGAAUUCAGCAACCUGAUAGGCCGGCACUGAUUCCUUUGGGGAUCGAAUUAAGGUGGGAUUUCUGAUUGGUUCCCAGUCUCUGACUUGAAGGGGGAUUUCCCUGCCUCAGGAGGUUUUCCUGAUUUUUGCCAAUAUUUUCAAGAGUCUGAAAACAUCCCAAAUCAGAGUGCAAGGUGGAAAUCUCAAUUUUUUUUUUUUUGUGAACUGGGGAA
Dermochelys coriacea (leatherback sea turtle) is the source of this 1015-nucleotide long non-coding RNA. RefSeq lists it as uncharacterized. The record is from RefSeq and is a predicted model, not a curated record. NCBI's taxonomy places the organism in Eukaryota, Metazoa, Chordata, Testudines, Dermochelyidae. The transcript is spliced from 4 exons.